RNAcentral lists this transfer RNA (73 nucleotides) under Camelus bactrianus (Bactrian camel). It matches the Rfam family "tRNA". From Rfam's summary of the family: Transfer RNA (tRNA) molecules are approximately 80 nucleotides in length. Lineage: Eukaryota; Metazoa; Chordata; Mammalia; Artiodactyla; Camelidae. RNAcentral also lists the same sequence under 2 other names. The record is from Rfam by way of RNAcentral.
GGAGGUAUAGCUCAAGUGGUAGAGUGCCUGCUUAGCAUGCACAAGGUCCUGGGUUCAAUCCCCAGUACCUCCU